AGUCUGAUAGCUCAGUGGUAGAGUUGUUCUCUGAUACGGAACAGGUCGAAGACGGUCGGCCGCCGCCGUUCGAGUCCUUCUCAGACUACAA
This 91-nucleotide transfer RNA is filed under the name Emticicia agri. RNAcentral describes it as "Emticicia sp. 17J42-9 tRNA-Ile". It matches the Rfam family "tRNA". From Rfam's summary of the family: Transfer RNA (tRNA) molecules are approximately 80 nucleotides in length. Their secondary structure includes four short double-helical elements and three loops (D, anti-codon, and T loops). Lineage: Bacteria; Pseudomonadati; Bacteroidota; Cytophagia; Cytophagales; Leadbetterellaceae. The record is from RNAcentral.